RNAcentral lists this unclassified non-coding RNA (1896 nucleotides) under Cyanidioschyzon merolae strain 10D. RNAcentral's name for it is "hypothetical transcript". Lineage: Eukaryota; Rhodophyta; Bangiophyceae; Cyanidiales; Cyanidiaceae. The record is from RNAcentral.
GUGCGAGCGAGGUUCCCCUGAACGGGCAGGUGUGUUUCUUUGCGUACUGGUUUUGAAUAGGAAAGAGCGUUGAGCGUUUAGGACGUAGACCCAGUUCCUCCAUAAGAUGGUUCGGUAAGGGUUUAUGUGUCAUCAUGGACGCUGCAAGCUCCCAAGAACACGGUUCGCGAGUCGAACGCGGACGCUUCGUGAGGUGUUAUGGACCGGAUUGGCAACGAUGCCAAGAGGCGCAGCAUCAUUGCUGCAGACGUGCUGCUUGCGUCAUCUAGACACCCGCGAUUCACGAUAUACCGGCCCGUAACCACACAGCGCAAAGCCCUUGGUGAAACAGGGGCCACUCGAGCGACGCUUGGCUGGAGUCGCGACGGACGGUGCGGGUUCACGGGUACCUGCCGCGUGCCGUCCCAGCAGCGGUGCAGGGGUCAGGGCGCCCCGCAGCCUCGAGUCUAUAGUCUGUUGCGACCGAGAAAUCGUUGUUUGCUGGCCCUUGACGAAACGCGUUGGACCUUUAACGGGGCGAGCACGCCAAAUUGCCCUCGACGAAGUGUUUGCCUGUCUCCGCUGCUGAUAGCGAACCUACUCCCGAGUGCAGCGCUCGACUGCUGCUCACUGGUGAACUGCUGGGGUCACGUUCUCCAAGCAAGCCGUUCGCAAGUCGACGGAUGCUAAAAGUCGCCUGGGUUGAGACGUGCGGCAUGCGGCGUUCCUUGUUGAGGUCAGCGUUGCUGCUUGAUGGAUUCUUUCUUGACAUGUUGCUGACGUAUUUCAGGUGCUAGUGCUGACUUUGCAGCAAGUUCCUCGAUCAUGUUUCGCCGAACCGGACGUAACUUUCGUCUCGCGCGCUGUAUCAAGGAAUCUUUGCGAGCGGUAACCAACACUUUAGGUCAUACGAGGCCUCUGCUGUCGUCGUCGCCUGUGCGAGCGCCGCGAAGCGACGUUUGCCUGCACGUAUCGAAUGCGCACGCCUCGAAUCGGGCGGUAGACGCUGGGGCGGAAGCUUAUUUGCAUCCGCAAACAGAAUGCCGAGCAGGCGAUGUGAAAGAACGCUAUCCGAUCCAAAUCCGACGAGCUGAGGAAGAUGCUCAAGAACAUGAUACCUUGCCGCCGCCGAGCAACAUGAUUUCGGGGAGAACACCGCCCCUGCAUCAGAAUGCUCGUCGCCCUGGGUCCGAAUAACGUACAAGCGCUGGCGAGGCAGUAGCUUCGCGACGCUCUACCCUGGGCGCGCAGAAGAGUGCAUCUCAGACCGUCUCGCCUAUGCCCCGAAAUUUUGGUACGGAAAAGUUUUGCGCAGUGGUGGAGUCCCUGGUCUAUCUUUCAGAUGUUAUACUCGGCCUCGUCCACCUCGAAGGAGCGUUCCCCGAAGAACUUAACAUGCACGAGGUCGCCGGGAUACAAAUCGCCCAGCUCUUUGUAGCGCGUUGUGAGCAUGAUGGAUUGAAGAAUUUGGCCGUCUUGGAGCUCGACAUCAACACGCACACUCCAACCUAAGAAAAACACGUCGACAACACGAGCCGGAGCCGUGGUGCUAUCGGGGCUGCGAUGCAAGUGAACGUCAUGAGGACGCAGCAUCAAGUACUGGGCGGCGUUAUCGCUCUUACGGACAUUGGUCGUUGUCUCAGACUCGCGCGGUAUUGUCGGCGGACGCUCGGGGUCCGACCAAAUGGAGUCUUUUUUGGAUGUCUCCACGGAGCGCGCUCGAGUAGCAUUCGUGAAGGUGCGCCCGUUUGCCUGCUCUGCGGGGAGCGCAUCACGACUCACGACGCUCACAUCGCCCAUGAAGCUCAUGACAAACGGCGACGCUGGAUGCUCAUAGAUCUCAAGCGGUGUGCCGACCUGCUCGAUCUGGCCCUUGUUCAUGACCACCACGGAGCUGGCUAUCUCUAAAGCCUCCUG